UACGGAGGAUGCAAGCGUUGUCCGGAAUUAUUGGGCGUAAAGAGCUCGUAGGCGGUUUGUCGCGUCUGCUGUGAAAUCUGGGGGCUCAACCCCCAGCCUGCAGUGGGUACGGGCAGACUAGAGUGCGGUAGGGGAGAUUGGAAUUCCUGGUGUAGCGGUGGAAUGCGCAGAUAUCAGGAGGAACACCGAUGGCGAAGGCAGAUCUCUGGGCCGUAACUGACGCUGAGGAGCGAAAGCAUGGGGAGCGAACAGG
RNAcentral lists this ribosomal RNA (253 nucleotides) under uncultured bacterium. RNAcentral's name for it is "partial 16S ribosomal RNA". It matches the Rfam family "Bacterial small subunit ribosomal RNA", at positions 524 to 776 of the family's 1533-position model. The record is from RNAcentral.